Long non-coding RNA from Xiphophorus hellerii (green swordtail), 299 nucleotides. RefSeq lists it as uncharacterized. The transcript has 2 exons. The record is from RefSeq and is a predicted model, not a curated record. Lineage: Eukaryota; Metazoa; Chordata; Actinopteri; Cyprinodontiformes; Poeciliidae.
UGGUCCAUUUUCUGCCUUACCAGGGUCACGGUACGAGUGAUCAGACUCUGAUCCGGAUCCUGGUGAGCCGCUCCGAGGUCGACCUGCAGAAGGUCGUAGAGGAGUACCGGGCAAUGUUUGAGAGAACCCUACAUGAGGACAUCUUGAACGACACCAAAGGACAUUAUCAGAAAGUCCUGCUUGCGUUGUGCGGACCGAGUUAAAACCUCGGCCUCUGAGGAAGCAAAAAAUCAGUCAAAUUCAUGCUCUAAUAAAGUUUCUCUUUCCACUAUUUGUUUUACUGCUGCUGGUGGAAAAAA